GACCUAUCAGCUACACUUUGAGGAAGUGUGUCCUUCUUUGCUGCUUCAUGCUGUCAGACUUUUAAGUGUACGGCUGCAUGACCUGACAAGUUGGGAAUUACUAACUGAAAGUUUGUUCUGGUUCAGAGUGUUUGUGGCGAUAAGUCUCAUGAUGAAUCGAAUGGAGAAACUGCGGUUGGAAAUACAGGCUGAGCUCUUGGAGCUCCUCAUCUUGCUGGUUCUGGCUGCAAGUUGUUGUGUUCUGGACAUGCUCUUACACGCUCACAAACGUUUCCUGCAGGUUGUUGGCAUCCAAGCCGACCUUCAAGACAAAAAAAUUACAAUAGAUCAGGUCACAUCAGUUGUCCUGGAUGUUCUUCUUCUUUUCCUUUGCUACAAGAUGAUCAACUUCAUCCUUCUGCUGGUCACCUUCUUUCUUAGGUGGCUUGUGAAUGUUAGAGCGGCUUUGUUUGUUCCUGUUUUAAUCCUGAGUGGCCAAAGUGUCAGCUUAGAAGCUAUGUGUACAAUACUGGUGUUUGCAGUGAGUGUCUGCAUCCUUCAUUGGAUUUGGAAACGAGAAAGGGACACAGCCAUGGAUACCCGAGUUAUUCAACUUGAAAAGGAGGUGAAUAUGUUAUAUCAAUGGAGGUGAACAGAUGAAGAAGCAGAUUUGGUAUUUUGUGCUCCUGUCUUAUAGACUUUUGCAUAUUUAGUUUUUAGCGCUCUUAGGGCCAGAUUUACUAAAGGUUUGCGUGUCUUAAAACGUGUGCAAACUUGAUACCAGCCGCAAAAAAAGUGCUAUCUGAUCUACUAACGGCAAAGGAUUGCGUCUUCCAUAUGAGCAAAACAACGCUCAUUGUCCAUUUAGUACGUUUGCCUUAAUGAAUAUGCAAUAUGGGGCAUUUCUGCCCUAACGUGCAAAAUACUGGGAGGAGAAAAUGAAGGAGAAAAAGGAGGAGACAUAGGCACAAUCAAAGAAGGCAUACAGAUCGCGUUUUUCCCCACACAUGUUAACAUGUUUGGAAUGACAGCAGGAAACACCAUGAUUAAACUAUAUUGUUGCAUAUUUAUAGCCAACAAAACUGAACAUUCACAGCCUCUGUAUUCUAAAGAAUUUCAACAUUUACAUUUAUGUCUUCCUAUUUCCCUCUUUUCACCAACAUUACAUUUUAAACUGGGAUUUUCUUUUUCUCGGGUUGCGCGUCUCUCCCCCAGAUCGCCCCCUCUGGUACGCUCCUCUCCAUAAUGCGCGCGUCUCCUUCCUCUAAAGCCCGCUGCUGCUACUCUGUAGGAUGCUUGGAUUGGGGUACCUCACCACUGCUUGUACCCCCGUCUUCGAUAUCUCUUUCCAGGACAUUUAUGUCCGAUCAGACACAGCGCUGGCCAGCUGUCUGGUGCGCAACAACGGCCCGAGUGUCACGCCUGAGCGCCACAGAGGACACAGCUCGCACCUCCUGCACAAAGUAUGACAAUUCAUUCUUAAGAUUAAGGGAAGAAAAGAGAGGCCCUGUUUAAUAACGAGGUUAAAGAAGUCAAAUUUUCUUUUUGUAAUAUUCAGAUUUAUCUCCUAUAACUCAAAAAUAUUGUGCGUUUAUUUGCCGCUUCCAAUGAUACCUAUUUUAUGCUAGCAGUCGUCCUGCUUUCCGUCCAAACUCUCCAUGAUGUAAACCAGUAGAACACGCAAUAACCUAACUUAAAUAGUACCGCCUCCACAAGGUUUGCACAUGGUGUCAUUCACGCAAACUUUCUUAGUAGAUCACCUGCAAAUCGCACUUUAACCAAACGUGCAAUUUGUUGGAGUGAACACGUAAUUUAGCACUCUUUACUUGGGAUCUUAGUAAAUCUGGGGGGGGGGGGGGGGCUGGAGAGCCCGCACCAGAACUUCAGUGACCUUCCGGUUCCCAACCCAAGUCCCUAUACAGCUGCCCCAUAUUGCAUUCAUAACAGUUGUUUCUUAAUUUGGAUGCAACCAAUAUAGUUCACAUUCAGUCAUAGGAUUUCAUUUGUUUUAAUGGUUGAGUAAAACCUUUUUUGACCCUUUGUUUGUUUACCCUGAUCCUCUGACAAAAGGCCCGCUGCCAUUCAAAGAUAGACUUUUAAGCCCUGCCUCAGACUCAUGAUUUCCAAAAAAUUAUCUGUUUCUCUUUAUUUGAAUUGCUUUUUUCAAGAUAAUUAAAUUCUAAAUUCUGUUAAGUUUGUAUUCAAUUCCCCCCCCCCCCCCCCCCCCCCCCCCCCCCCUUUGUGUUUAUAUUGGACUAGUCCAUUGUGUAUAUAACCCCACUUGUGUAAGUUGAUGUUAGGUCUGUUUGUUAUGUUUGUUUUGUAAGGUUGAAGCAUUCCUUAUUCUAUAAGUUGACCUCUUUUUGAUUUUGGGCCCUUUUUUCCCCCUCACAUUUUUGGUAUGUUUACAUUGAUCAAUUUUGUUACUGAUUUUCUCAACUUAAUUAAAGUAAAUUUGCUCUUUAUUUACACCUUUGUCCUUUGCCUGAUUGCUUGGUCCCUUACAUUUACCUACAGAUCAUUAUUUAUGUAUUUGGACUCUACAAGGGACGGUACACCAAAACUUCAGCUAAAUUCCGUCAAGAACCAAGAUUCAUUUGGCUCGUUUGCCUACUUCUCAAUUAGCCGGAAGUUAGUUAUAGUCUGUAUUUCCAAUAUGGUGACGGCCAUUGUUGGGCUUCAAAACAGCUCUUCCUAAACCUUCUAGUGACUUCACUGACACUAUACAUGUAUGUUUUGGAAAACACAAACUAUUUGGAAAAAUUCACGGGAAAAAUUGUGACUUUAAAGGAAGAUAAGAAUGUGCGACAUUUUAGACACGAAUAAAGCAGAAAUCAAGUAUAUCCUCUGUGAAUGUCUCUCUGAGUCGUGACUGUCUACAAUGAGUGAGAAGCCUGAGUCCCGCCAGCUGUACAACCUUGGGUAUAAAGCUGUUUUAGUCAAGGACUGGAGAAAAGAAGUAUCACAUAGUCUACUCACUGCUUAUUGGGAUUGUGAUGUAUCCACUGACUGUAAAUAUUAAUGGAUGAAGCCUGAGUGACGUCAGGGGAACUCCGGAGGCUCUGGAGGCUCAUCGGCAGCUGCCGUCAUGCAUGAAAUCCUGUCUCAGUUUAACUUUCAGUCAACCUAACGACAGGCUGAGAGCUGGAGCAGAGGCGGGUUUGAAGCCUCUUGACCAACCAU
Long non-coding RNA from Labrus mixtus (cuckoo wrasse), 3162 nucleotides. RefSeq lists it as uncharacterized. The record is from RefSeq and is a predicted model, not a curated record. NCBI's taxonomy places the organism in Eukaryota, Metazoa, Chordata, Actinopteri, Labriformes, Labridae. The transcript has 3 exons.